UGACCGCUGGCGGCGUGCCUAAUACAUGCAAGUCGAGCGAACAGACGAGGAGCUUGCUCCUCUGACGUUAGCGGCGGACGGGUGAGUAACACGUGGAUAACCUACCUAUAAGACUAGGAUAACUUCGGGAAACCGGAGCUAAUACCGGAUAAUAUAUUGAACCGCAUGUUUCAAUAGUGAAAGACGGUUUUGCUGUCACUUAUAGAUGGAUCCGCGCCGCAUUAGCUAGUUGGUAAGGUAACGGCUUACCAAGGCAACGAUGCGUAGCCGACCUGAGAGGGUGAUCGGCCACACUGGAACUGAGACACGGUCCAGACUCCUACGGGAGGCAGCAGUAGGGAAUCUUCCGCAAUGGGCGAAAGCUUGACGGAGCAACGCCGCGUGAGUGAUGAAGGUCUUCGGAUCGUAAAACUCUGUUAUUAGGGAAGAACAAAUGUGUAAGUAACUAUGCACGUCUUGACGGUACCUAAUCAGAAAGCCACGGCUAACUACGUG
This 495-nucleotide ribosomal RNA is filed under the name uncultured bacterium. Its description in RNAcentral is "partial 16S ribosomal RNA". It matches the Rfam family "Bacterial small subunit ribosomal RNA", at positions 30 to 507 of the family's 1533-position model. The record is from RNAcentral.